This 592-nucleotide unclassified non-coding RNA is filed under the name Penicillium chrysogenum. Its description in RNAcentral is "sequence contains 18S rRNA gene, ITS1, 5.8S rRNA gene, ITS2, 28S rRNA gene". The stretch from base 222 to 374 matches the Rfam family "5.8S ribosomal RNA". The record is from RNAcentral. Lineage: Eukaryota; Fungi; Ascomycota; Eurotiomycetes; Eurotiales; Aspergillaceae.
AGUCGUAACAAGGUUUCCGUAGGUGAACCUGCGGAAGGAUCAUUACCGAGUGAGGGCCCUCUGGGUCCAACCUCCCACCCGUGUUUAUUUUACCUUGUUGCUUCGGCGGGCCCGCCUUAACUGGCCGCCGGGGGGCUUACGCCCCCGGGCCCGCGCCCGCCGAAGACACCCUCGAACUCUGUCUGAAGAUUGUAGUCUGAGUGAAAAUAUAAAUUAUUUAAAACUUUCAACAACGGAUCUCUUGGUUCCGGCAUCGAUGAAGAACGCAGCGAAAUGCGAUACGUAAUGUGAAUUGCAAAUUCAGUGAAUCAUCGAGUCUUUGAACGCACAUUGCGCCCCCUGGUAUUCCGGGGGGCAUGCCUGUCCGAGCGUCAUUGCUGCCCUCAAGCACGGCUUGUGUGUUGGGCCCCGUCCUCCGAUCCCGGGGGACGGGCCCGAAAGGCAGCGGCGGCACCGCGUCCGGUCCUCGAGCGUAUGGGGCUUUGUCACCCGCUCUGUAGGCCCGGCCGGCGCUUGCCGAUCAACCCAAAUUUUUAUCCAGGUUGACCUCGGAUCAGGUAGGGAUACCCGCUGAACUUAAGCAUAUCAAUAA